Molecule: small nucleolar RNA, 78 nt
Organism: Salmo trutta (river trout)
Lineage: Eukaryota; Metazoa; Chordata; Actinopteri; Salmoniformes; Salmonidae
Source: Ensembl
GCUUGUGUGAUGAUGUAUUUUCUUUAGUCGGAUACCCCUUCACUCUACAUGAUGAGUGAGAUCCCCUAUCUGACAAGC